CCCAAGUGCUAUCUCUUGAUUGAUUUUUUG
This 30-nucleotide non-coding RNA is filed under the name Mus musculus (house mouse). Lineage: Eukaryota; Metazoa; Chordata; Mammalia; Rodentia; Muridae. The record is from RNAcentral.